UGUUUCAGAUUAGAUGACCGUUACUGUGGGA
Molecule: non-coding RNA, 31 nt
Filed under: Mus musculus (house mouse)
Lineage: Eukaryota; Metazoa; Chordata; Mammalia; Rodentia; Muridae
Source: RNAcentral